RNAcentral lists this ribosomal RNA (574 nucleotides) under Trichoderma asperellum. RNAcentral's name for it is "eukaryotic LSU rRNA". The stretch from base 200 to 353 matches the Rfam family "5.8S ribosomal RNA". The record is from RNAcentral. Lineage: Eukaryota; Fungi; Ascomycota; Sordariomycetes; Hypocreales; Hypocreaceae.
UGCGGAGGGAUCAUUACCGAGUUUACAACUCCCAAACCCAAUGUGAACGUUACCAAACUGUUGCCUCGGCGGGGUCACGCCCCGGGUGCGUCGCAGCCCCGGAACCAGGCGCCCGCCGGAGGAACCAACCAAACUCUUUCUGUAGUCCCCUCGCGGACGUAUUUCUUACAGCUCUGAGCAAAAAUUCAAAAUGAAUCAAAACUUUCAACAACGGAUCUCUUGGUUCUGGCAUCGAUGAAGAACGCAGCGAAAUGCGAUAAGUAAUGUGAAUUGCAGAAUUCAGUGAAUCAUCGAAUCUUUGAACGCACAUUGCGCCCGCCAGUAUUCUGGCGGGCAUGCCUGUCCGAGCGUCAUUUCAACCCUCGAACCCCUCCGGGGGAUCGGCGUUGGGGAUCGGGACCCCUCACACGGGUGCCGGCCCCGAAAUACAGUGGCGGUCUCGCCGCAGCCUCUCCUGCGCAGUAGUUUGCACAACUCGCACCGGGAGCGCGGCGCGUCCACGUCCGUAAAACACCCAACUUUCUGAAAUGUUGACCUCGGAUCAGGUAGGAAUACCCGCUGAACUUAAGCAUAU